This 390-nucleotide ribosomal RNA is filed under the name uncultured bacterium. RNAcentral describes it as "bacterial SSU rRNA". It matches the Rfam family "Bacterial small subunit ribosomal RNA", at positions 30 to 400 of the family's 1533-position model. The record is from RNAcentral.
AUUGAACGCUGGCGGCAUGCCUUACACAUGCAAGUCGAACGGCAGCACGGGACUCGGGCAACUGAGCCCUGGUGGCGAGUGGCGAACGGGUGAGUAAUGCAUCGGAACGUGCCCAGUAGUGGGGGAUAACUAGUCGAAAGAUUAGCUAAUACCGCAUACGACCUAUGGGUGAAAGCGGGGGAUUUUCGGGCAACCGAGAACCUCGCGCUAUCGGAGCGGCCGAUGUCNGAUUAGCUAGUUGGCGGGGUAAAAGCCCACCAAGGCUACGAUCAGUAGCUGGUCUGAGAGGACGACCAGCCACACUGGGACUGAGACACGGCCCAGACUCCUACGGGAGGCAGCAGUGGGGAAUUUUGGACAAUGGGCGCAAGCCUGAUCCAGCCAUGCCGC